AAGCUAGAAUAGUAAACAAAUCUCCCAUUCGUACAUGGUCUAAUGCUAGAGGAGAAGGCAAAUUGUUUUCAAUAGAUUUAUUAGAUGAAAGUGGAGAAAUAAAAGCUACAGGUUUUAGAGAGAUAGUUGAUAAAUUUUAUGACUUCUUAGAGGUUGAUAAAGUUUAUUUUAUAAGUAAAUGUCAACUAAAAAUAGCAAACAAACAAUUCUCAACCUUAAACAACGAUUAUGAAAUGACUUUUACGAAUGACACUAUUAUUCAAGAAUGUGUUGAUGAUACUAAGUCAAUUCCCCAAGUUCAGUACAAUUUUAUACCUAUUAAUCAAAUUGCUAAUAUCGAAAUGGGUUCAUUGAUUGAUGUCAUUGGUGUUUGUAAAACGUCUUCUGAUGUGACAUCAAUAACUGCUCGAACCACAGGCAGGGAACAUAAGAAAAGGAAUGUACAGUUGACUGAUCAGUCAGACACUUCAGUACGUUUAUUUAUUUAUUUAUUUAUUAUAUGCAAUA
Long non-coding RNA from Agrilus planipennis (emerald ash borer), 507 nucleotides. RefSeq lists it as uncharacterized. NCBI's taxonomy places the organism in Eukaryota, Metazoa, Arthropoda, Insecta, Coleoptera, Buprestidae. The record is from RefSeq and is a predicted model, not a curated record. The transcript is spliced from 3 exons.